CUGUCGUCAGCUCGUGUUGUGAAAUGUUGGGUUAAGUCCCGCAACGAGCGCAACCCUUAUCCUUUGUUGCCAGCGGUCCGGCCGGGAACUCAAAGGAGACUGCCAGUGAUAAACUGGAGGAAGGUGGGGAUGACGUCAAGUCAUCAUGGCCCUUACGACCAGGGCUACACACGUGCUACAAUGGCGCAUACAAAGAGAAGCGACCUCGCGAGAGCAAGCGGACCUCAUAAAGUGCGUCGUAGUCCGGAUUGGAGUCUGCAACUCGACUCCAUGAAGUCGGAAUCGCUAGUAAUCGUGGAUCAGAAUGCCACGGUGAAUACGUUCCCGGGCCUUGUACACACCGCCCGUCACACCAUGGGAGUGGGUUGCAAAAGAAGUAGGUAGCUUAACCUUCGGGAGGGCGCUUACCACUUUGUGAUUCAUGACUGGGGUGAAGUCGUAACAAGGUAACCGUAGGGGAACCUGCGGUUGGAUCACCUC
This 480-nucleotide ribosomal RNA is filed under the name uncultured bacterium. RNAcentral's name for it is "bacterial SSU rRNA". It matches the Rfam family "Bacterial small subunit ribosomal RNA", at positions 1049 to 1529 of the family's 1533-position model. The record is from RNAcentral.